Molecule: long non-coding RNA, 540 nt
Organism: Clupea harengus (Atlantic herring)
Lineage: Eukaryota; Metazoa; Chordata; Actinopteri; Clupeiformes; Clupeidae
Source: Ensembl
GAAAAAGUUCAACGUUCUCAAAUCUAAUCCCUAUUUUGUGAAACAAUGAAACAUGAGUCAUGGGGGAGCAGCACGCUCGGAAAUACCAUGUAUAAGAAAUGAACAACAGGAAUGAUGUUGCCAUGAGAAUCUGUGAGAAGGAGUCCUGGCACCAUUCUAAAGGUUGUGAAUGAGAACAGGGGCCUACCUCCCAGUCACCACUAGCAGCCUGGCUAUGCUUCAAUCCCAGUGUUUAGAUGCAAGGCCAACCCCAGGUUACCCAAGAGGGGGUCUGCUCCCAGCUUGCACUUUGUGGAGUUUGUGUGCAAUUUCAAUUCCUGAUGAUGAAUAAAUGAUGGAAUUCAUCGACAGCAAAAAAAUAAAUACUUUGUUGAUUCACAGUUGGCCACUUGCAACUCCUGAGUGGAAACAGAGUGGAAUAAUAAAUAGGCCACGGUAGCACAGUCCUGUCGACAGGAGGGAAAUAAAUAAGUUUGAUGCCCCGAAAGUCAACAUCCACAAGGUGACAAAUAAACAGUGGGGCUUGUGUGCUCAGUGAAU